UGGGGAAUAUUGGACAAUGGGCGAAAGCCUGAUCCAGCCAUGCCGCGUGUGUGAAGAAGGUCUUCGGAUUGUAAAGCACUUUAAGUUGGGAGGAAGGGCAGUAAGUUAAUACCUUGCUGUUUUGACGUUACCGACAGAAUAAGCACCGGCUAACUCUGUGCCAGCAGCCGCGGUAAUACAGAGGGUGCGAGCGUUAAUCGGAAUUACUGGGCGUAAAGCGCGCGUAGGUGGUUUGUUAAGUUGGAUGUGAAAGCCCCGGGCUCAACCUGGGAACUGCAUCCAAAACUGGCAAGCUAGAGUACGGUAGAGGGUGGUGGAAUUUCCUGUGUAGCGGUGAAAUGCGUAGAUAUAGGAAGGAACACCAGUGGCGAAGGCGACCACCUGGACUGAUACUGACACUGAGGUGCGAAAGCGUGGGGAGCAAACA
Molecule: ribosomal RNA, 427 nt
Filed under: uncultured bacterium
Lineage: Bacteria
Description: partial 16S ribosomal RNA
Rfam family: Bacterial small subunit ribosomal RNA
Source: RNAcentral